AUAAUAGUAUCCUUUUAUCUCCUUCCUCAGAACGAUUGGAUAAGGGAAGGCUUCUCUUUCCCCAUGGCGCUUCCCUACACCUCGGUCCCUCGUUUCCAACCUUGUCGCCUUCAAACAAAAGGAUUCUUGCAUGGAAUCGGCUCGGAAAGACUUUCUGUAAGUUUAAUGGCUUUGAAGGCGAAAAAUAUUAAGGUUUCCAAGGCAAUUGAUUGAAAGGAAGCUAAUUUCAAUUAUUAGUAGAAAGAAGGUGGAUUUUAGGGGCUCAGACUGGUGCUUUUGGGACCAGGCAAUGGGUUUUGUCUGGUCACUCUUCAAAUAGGACAUACUUUGUAAUACUCUGUAAAUCUGGUUGUUUGUCCCGUGUUGUGCCUAUGACCUUAGCAACAACGUCAAAUUGCAUGGGAUUGCUUUGGUUCAAGAAUGCUGCUGUUGUUAAUCAGCUUGAACUUGAAAGGAAGUAGCAAGUAAGCCACCUUUUGAAGUACAUCAAACACUGCUUUGCUUCUGCUUCUCUCUAGUUACAGUUGUAAGGCCAACUCUGCAACAACAAAAACAGUUCCAUUAUGUUUCCCUUUCUCCAAUUUUUGCAUAAAGAUGGCCAUCAAAGUUUUAUGUUUCGGGUGUUGGAGGGGGAUUCACAAAAAAAUGAUUUAAAGCAUACUUGGUCUGGGUAACAAAAUCCCUUGGUGAUGAAUUAGACUGGUGAGGCACGUUAAUUUUGCCCUUUUCGCAGGUUAUCAGGGAGUACAAAAUACAUGUAUAUAGACAAGGAGAUGUUGCAGCUGAUUGUUUGACCAAUAUGGGGAGAUCUCAAUGGCAUGAUUGGUUUUCUUCAUGAUGUAGAACUACGUUGGUAUAAUGACUGUAUGGCUAUACCGGCAUUUAUGCUGUUGACUGUGGUGUAUAACCAUUUACAAUAAUAUAAACAAAAGACUUGGGCUUGGCUUCAGUAACUGGAGGGGACAAGAUCAUAGUGCUGUGUGUGAGCUCAUAGAUGUUGAUGAAACUGCUCGCUCCAUAAUUUGUUUGAAAGUUCGUGUCUGCAGUCAGCCCUCACCUCUUGGUGUAUGCAUAUGGUUCACAGCA
Molecule: non-coding RNA, 1086 nt
Organism: Elaeis guineensis (African oil palm)
Lineage: Eukaryota; Viridiplantae; Streptophyta; Magnoliopsida; Arecales; Arecaceae
Source: RefSeq, a predicted model, not a curated record